GCUCGAACUCCCGGACCGCGAGAUCGUGACCUGGCUGAAGUCGGACGCUUAACCGACUGCGCCACCCAGGCACCCCAACUACUGUAUUUUUUAAAUGAGCUUCUUGUAGUGGAAGUUGCUAUUAUUAAUGUAGUGUUUAUAAUGUCCAGUUUAACUGUAAGUACUAAUGCUUUGAUACCUGGUAAUGAUGCUCAUAGAGUCACUUUUAGGGACUUGGAAAGUGAUAAUGUUGUAUUAUGUUUAAUAAUAACAAGUUUUAAUUUGAAUCUUACAGACCUGAGGACUUUGGUAUGAAGAGGAAUGCUCUUUUGCUCUUUUCUCAGCCCAGUGCUCACUUACGUUUGAUAAGUAUUGAAGUACCAGAAAUCAGAGUUCUUGGUUGCUUUCUGGCUCAGCUAAAAACUGACUGGCUAAUUCAGGCAGAAAUGGGACUAAUUUUAAAAAGUUUCAGAGGGAAGACUUUUAGGAUGCUAAAAAUGUUUUAUAAUUGGAUCUAGGUGGAGACUUCACAGGUGUUUACAUAUCAAGUUCCAUACUUAAGAUUUUUGCCCUUUAUAUGAGUCAUACCUCAAUAUUUUUUUAAUGAGGAAUCUGGAGGAAUAGACUUGGAAAAAAUAAGCAGAGCUAAGAGAGGCUAGGUGAUCAGAAUGACAGCAACCAGGGCUGACUGAUUAGGGUGCUGCUGUUCUCACCACUGGCACCAAGCACAAUCCCGUGCACACCACUGGAAUUAGUUUUGGUUUUUUUUUUAAUUUUUAAAAAACGUUUGUUUUUGAGAGAGAAGACUGAGUUGGGGAGGAGCAGAGAGCGAGGGAGACAGAAUCCGAAGCAGGCUCCAGGCUCUGAGCUGUCAACACAGAGCCCAAUGAGGGGCCUGAUGUCGCAAACCCUGAGAUCGUUAUCUGAGCCAAAGUCUGAUGCUUAACCAACUGAGCCACACAGGUGCCCCUGGAAUUGGUUAUAGUGCAUCGUUCCUGAUUCAAAGUCCCUGACAGAAGCAUCAGAUUGUGCCCCAGCUUCCAGGUGUCAGGGAGGGAGCAACUAGCUAGCAUCCUUUCCCUGGAAUUUACACAACAGUAAAUUCUAUGAAUUUAAGAAGGGGCUUCAGAUGCCAGGCCGCCUGACAGUGACAAAUAUCACACUUUCCUGUCUUCAUCUUACCCUAUUGCCCCCAAACUGGAGUCUCUCUCACUCCCCUUACCCAACCCAUCAACAGUUCUAUGAUAUAUCCUGAAACUGUGCACUUACUUGUGUCACUACUACACCCUAGACUCAAGCCACCAUCAUCUCUCAAUCUCUUACUGCUUGUUUCUUCUCUUUGCUAUCACUCUCCUCUCUCCACGCUCACAAUCCAUCCUGUCCACAGAAGCCAAAGUCAUCUUUAAAAAAAAAGAUAAACUGCUAUAUAAUUUCUUCAGCCUCUUCUCUCAGCCUGAAUUUCUUCAGUUCUCUACCAACACUGAGGACUUGAUUGCUGCCUUAGGAUCUUUGCACUUGCCAUUUUCUCUUUGUGGAGUGUUCCUCAUCCAUAUUUGACUUGAGUGGUUAUUUUUUUGUCAUUUCAUUUGUCUGCUCAAAUGCCACUUCAGAGGCUGCCUCUGAAAACCCAGUCAGUAGCCUGUCUUGAAAACUGGGGGAGGAAGAAGGUAGAGAUUUGUCGCUUGGAGCAAGUACCAAAUAGUUAUGGUACUAUUUGAUUAAACGAUGGACAGUUAUAACUUUAGAAAAUUUACCUUUAAACCAAAUUUAGGAAGAAAAACUAAAAAAAAAGCGUAUCUGCACCCUUACAUAUCUAGUUCACUGCCAUCUGCCUAAGAUUUGUAACAGAAGAUGUUCAGUUAAUUAUUAAUAAAUGAAUGAAUACAAAAGGAUUCUCAGAGAAUGGUUGCCCUUUUGUCAGGAAAAGAUUAAGGGCCAUGAGAUGCAAUGUGUAUGUAAUUAUUCAAAUAUUUACUGCUGAGUAGUAAUUAUUUGUGGUUAAGAAAGUUAUCUUUUUUUUUUUAUGACUGUGUUUCUUGUGGAAGGGGGAACAGCCUUCGGAAAAUUAGUAACUUAAAAAUUUAGUGGGUUGGUAAAUUUUAGGCAAUAGUUUUGUUUUUGUUUUUUUUUUUGCUGCAGAAUUGCAAUGUUUCAAUAGAAACAAUUGUUUAAAUAUUAUGUAUAUGAAAAAAAGUGUUUCUCGCCAUAAGGAAGGUUGGUCUCUGAGAGAGCUUUUGUUAAAAUGGGUCAUUUAUUUGUUUACAGAAAUCAUGAGCAAAAAAAAUCCUGAUUCAUUUUAGUGUGCACUUUUUGUUAGAACUGGAAAAACCUAUUUUCCAUUUUAGUAAAAGAAAAUAUUUUCAUAAAGUUGAAUGAACCCUAUAAGUAAGACUCUUACUAGAAAGAGUCUAUUAGAAUAGCAGAGACAAUUUGGGGGGACAGACACUACAUUUAAUGUUUUUUAUCUUUCUCAAUGUCAGGUGUUUGUUUUAAGCAAGUGAGAAAAUGCCUACAUACUUCCCCUGGAUGGGGUUAACUUAAUCCUUAUCUGUUUGAUAAGGCCACUGGCAUGCUUUUAAGUCAUUUGAGUUAAUCUGGGUUUUUUGUUGUUGUUUUGCUUAACGGAGGUAUUUAUGAAGUGAAAACUUGGUGUUGGCCUCAACAUUCUACAUUCUUCUUUGACUGGAAACUCCUCUAAGGAGAGUUUAAAAUUCCAACUUCAGAAAAAUACAAUGACCAUUAAAUUCAGAAAAGGGAAAGUGCCUCACAUUCAAGACAUUUUUUGUGAAAGUUAGGAGAGACCGCAAGCCUGCAGCUCACUUUUUCUCAUAGCUGCAGAUACUGAACAGUGACCCCUUGUUCUUGACCUUUGUUCAAGAAAAGGGCUGCAGGUUGCCAACAUUUGCAGUCUCUUUUUGACUGACUUUCCCCUGCCCUGUAGCCAUUGUAAUGCUCACGUUUUAACCUAAGGGCAAAUUUGAAUCAUUAGGUAAGUGACAACAGCUUGUCUAAACUGGUAGAUAAGAAAUGUCAAAGCAUAAGGUGCCAUCUGUCCCAGGUUAUGAACCUAUGUUUGAUCUGUACUCAGUGUCAAAACUCACCUGUAAAGUCAACCAAACUAUAAAGGAAGGCAUGUUAGUAUCUUUUUCCAUUGACAUCAUUCGUUACGAACGUUUUCAAAUGUAAAGAAAAGUUGAAAAUUAUGCAGUGAAUGCCCAUAUAUCUACCAGCUAGAUUCUAUAAUUGUAAGCCUUUUGUUACAUUAGUUUGAUCAUAUAUCCAUCUACCCACCAUUAUCUGUCUUAAUUUUUGAUACAUUUUAAAGUAAGUCACAGACUUCAGUUUACUUCACUGUAAGUGUCAUUUUGGAAGCCAAAAAAAAAAAAAAAAAAAAAAAAGGAGAUGAACUUGUGUGAUUAUAAUUAACUCCUAAAAGAGUCACAAAAUAUGUGAAUUUACCACAAAACCUAGAUUUCAUCAUGGUUAGAGAGAUCUAACAUGGCUAUUAAUAGCCUCUAAAUUAAUGUAUAUUUUGGGUUUUUUUUCAUCUUUUCCAUAUGACUUUUAGCUAUCCCAGACUACUAUCAUUCACAGACAACCUCCAGAAUUUCUAUCAUAUUCAAGUACCAUGUGUAAUAUUUUCUUAUUCUCUCUAAAAAAUUUUAUUUUCAGUUAAAUUUAUUUUUAGAGUACAACUUCAUAUUGCCACCAUAAAUGGAAAACCAGCAUGAUUUGUCAUAAACAAGUUGGCCAUAUUUUUUUUCUAUACACAAAAGUAAGUUCAUAUUGUAUACCUUGGCUUGCAUACUAAGGGAAAUACCAAGUUAUAGCCCCCAUCCUUCCCCCUUUCCUUUCACAAAUAUUGGGGCACAAGAAAAGUCAAAUCUGCUUUGGAGGUUAGACACACAGAUGAUAUUAGGCUGUUCUCUUUUUAAGGGACAAAAACACUACAUCUAGACUUGCCUAAGUCUCAUCUUGAGCUGACAAUGGCAAGAGAGAGCAGGGUGAGGAAGGGUCUGUCUGAAGCCCAUCUGAGAUUGUGUCCCAAGUGGAAUACAUUCCUCAUGAGCCCUGUGUUUGUCAACCCCAGCUGCUCUGCAGACCCCACACUGGCAGGAACAGAGCCAAAGCCUAAUCCUUGCAGCUUGAGGUUUGGGGACCUAUCAGAGCCAUGGCUCUGACCAUAUUUUCUUUUUCAUUUUGUUUCCUCUCAUUGUUUUAACCCUCUCCUACCAACCUAUCUUCCCCAAACCCCCUCUAUGUUAACAUAGGUGUGGUAGGAGACCAACAACAUACCUAUUUUUCCUUCCUGAAAUUAGAACCAAGACCUAGGAGCCAGACAUAUGGAGAUCAAAAUACCAGAUUUACCAUGGAUGAAGUGACCAAAUGUCACAGGAUGAACUUUGGGAUCCUUUGUCAAAUGGAACAGGAAAUAGAAGUGUGUAUUGGCAGCCAAAACCAACAUGCAAGGAUUUUCCAGGAGGUUAGCUUCUCAGCUUGAGCCCCAGUGUGAACUGAAGAGCCCUCGGAGAGAACUCAUCCCAGAAAAGGGGGAGACAGCACACUGCAGUGGCCUGAGUUCCAAAGCCUUGGAGUCCGAGAAAGAACCUUUUUCUUAGAAGAGGAAAUUCUCCUUCCUGCCUUGUUGAUAAGAACAUGGGGUUCCUAGCAAAUCAAGAAGGACUGGGUCCCAGUAACGGCCUCAUCUUUACUCAGUUAAACGAACCUCCAGAAGGUUGUGUGGGGUCUUUCCAUCUGCCUGGCACUGCUGAGUCCAUUUGGGGACACACAUGCCCCUGAGCUCCAGAAGUGGCCCUGAGUCUGCACCAGAACAGAAUAUUUUUCCCUCACAGCAUCUGCCCCACAUUUCUCCAUCAGGAUGUUUGUCUACAUACUUACAAUUACUCAGGUGAGUCUUUGCACAUUUCUUUUAAAGCUAUUUAUAGCUCAAGUAAAUCCUACCACAGAAAAUUCCUAACCCUCUCUUUCUAAUUUCUAAUCCCUAAUCCCAGCUACUUCAGGAAUAUUCUCAUCCCUCUGUGCUCUCUCUUCCAUUUGGAGCAAAUAUAUAAUAAUGUAAUGUAAUGUAAUGUAAUGUAAUGUAAUGUAAUGUAAUGUAAUGUAAUGUAAUGUAAUAAUGACACUUGUACAACAAAGGGAAAAAAGCAUUAAGUUUGGAAUUAGAACUACACAUUCUAAAAAAGGAAAGUCAUCAAUAUCGAAAGCUCAUUCAUACUUUCCAUACAUAUUCCAUCCACAGCUAUAUCUUUCUCAAAUUAAAAUUGCUUUUCUUCAGGCUCUGCUUUUCAAGAAAAGUGCAAGCAAUUUCUCUUUCAAUUACUUUCAGUUUUGUUUGCUCAUGGGUAUUAAAAUACUGUUUCCUACUAGAUGCGAAACAUGCAGAAUUUUGCCUACAUUAGGGGCAAAAUUAGCAUUUCUAGCUAACGGGAGAGCCUACUGAUUUACAGAGAACUGCUCAUGCACAUGAAUAGUUAUUAUACAAAUCAUUGAUAAGUUGCAGCUUGCUAAUACAUGAACAAAUGUCAAUCUUGAGUUCACAAAAAUUGUGAUUUUGGGCUUGACCUAAGCAGGCAUCAUAAUAAUCCUCAAUGAAAGAAUCAGUUGGUUAAAUGAAUACAUAAAUUAUAAAGUCUUAUGCUAACUUGAGCUCCUCCACUUUUUGAGUGUGUGUAUAUAUGUAUGCAAAUGCAUGUACACAAUGUGAAGUAUAUAUAAGCUAAUAGAAUGGACUAAACUGCGUGUUACUCACCU
Long non-coding RNA from Felis catus (domestic cat), 5751 nucleotides. RefSeq lists it as uncharacterized. The record is from RefSeq and is a predicted model, not a curated record. Lineage: Eukaryota; Metazoa; Chordata; Mammalia; Carnivora; Felidae. The transcript is spliced from 5 exons.